AUCAGAGAGCAGCUUCAGGGCAGAGAAAAGGACGAGGCCCAGCAGCUCAUGUUCCUGCAUGCCACCCACCCCGCGUGUCUCUCUGCACAGCAGAGAGGGCAGGACACGCUGGAGCCGCACUGCUGCAAGGUGGCUGUGGUGGAGAGGACUGUGGAGCUCACUGAGGAGCUUCCUGAUGACUUUCCACCCAGCGCCAUCCUGGCCAACUCAUUGAUCGCCAUGGG
Long non-coding RNA from Dermochelys coriacea (leatherback sea turtle), 224 nucleotides. RefSeq lists it as uncharacterized. The record is from RefSeq and is a predicted model, not a curated record. Lineage: Eukaryota; Metazoa; Chordata; Testudines; Dermochelyidae. The transcript is spliced from 3 exons.